AACGAACGCUGGCGGCAUGCCUAACACAUGCAAGUCGUGCGAGAAAGUUCCUUCGGGAGCAAGUAAAGCGGCGCACGGGUGAGUAACACGUAGGUAACCUGCCCCCCAGUCUGGAACAACUAGAGGAAACUCUAGCUAAUGCCGGAUGAGACCACGAUCCCUUCGGGGUUGGCGGCCAAAGAUGGCCUCUACUUGUAAGCUAUCGCUGAGGGAUGGGCCUGCGGGCCAUUAGCUUGUUGGUGAGGUAACGGCUCACCAAGGCUGUGAUGGCUAGCUGGUCUGAGAGGAUGACCAGCCACACUGGGACUGAGACACGGCCCAGACUCCUACGGGAGGCAGCAGUGGGGAAUAUUGCGCAAUGGGCGAAAGCCUGACGCAGC
RNAcentral lists this ribosomal RNA (380 nucleotides) under uncultured bacterium. RNAcentral's name for it is "bacterial SSU rRNA". It matches the Rfam family "Bacterial small subunit ribosomal RNA", at positions 29 to 392 of the family's 1533-position model. The record is from RNAcentral.